GUCAUCCAGUCUAGGGGACACUUUGAGCUGACCUGAGCUGGCAUUACUAGUUAGUUCUCUGAUUCUUUAGUUAAGGCUUUUUCUUGCUGCUGGUGUUGGAAGAAAAGAUUUCUGUGAGAGUAUCAAAUACAUGACAAUUAGUGGAGAGUUCAGACAAAUUGCAGGGAUACAGAGCAGGCUGGAAGGCCUACACAGCUCUGAGGAAGUACAGUGCAUCAUUUCAUAAGGCCAGUGUUCAGCAUAAUUCUGGGAAAGCUGUGGUGGUAGGGACUUCUGAUCAUUAUGUGCUACAUAAUCUGUGUUGUAAAUUGCUUUCCAGUUCUGGAUGCUUCUUUCUCAAAUCAUGCUGAUGAAAAAUGUACACAUAGGCUUCUGAUGCUAUCAGCUGGAGUAUCACUAUGUGAAGCCCCAGAUGAACAUGGUGAAGGAGACAAUGUUGAAGAGGGGGAAGCUGUGUGUCUCAGCCAUAGUUAUAGAAUCGUAGAAUCAUAGAAUGGUUUGAGGUGGAAGAGACCUUAAAGAUCAUCUAGUUCCAAACCCCCUUCCAUGGGCAGGGACACCUUC
Long non-coding RNA from Athene cunicularia (burrowing owl), 564 nucleotides. RefSeq lists it as uncharacterized. The record is from RefSeq and is a predicted model, not a curated record. Lineage: Eukaryota; Metazoa; Chordata; Aves; Strigiformes; Strigidae. The transcript has 4 exons.